Molecule: long non-coding RNA, 869 nt
Filed under: Felis catus (domestic cat)
Lineage: Eukaryota; Metazoa; Chordata; Mammalia; Carnivora; Felidae
Description: lncRNA (ENSFCAG00000049792.1)
Source: RNAcentral
CCCCUGGACUCAAAAAGCCUUCGAGAAAACAAAAGUAGAACCGAUGGACGGUAGAGCACCGCGGCUGAGGGCGAGCUCACCAGCACUGCGAGGCAGAACCACUGUCCAGGGACCACACGGUGCUGAGAUCCGUGGCUUGCUGGGCUGAAGGAGAAGCACCCACUAAUUGGUUCAGACCACAAAGGUCAACCCCACGAGCAUCCGAUUCCAUCUCUCAGAUACUAAUUUGGAAAACAAAAGUGGCCAGAUGGACUUCCCAUCCCCAUCUCAUGAGAGGAAGCAGGUCUUUCUUGGGCACCUACUCUCUGACCAUAAAUGACCCAGUUCCCUUGAGAGCUGAUUCUGACUAUGUGGAGAAUCUGAGGGACAACUUUCAAGCUGGCCGGGCAGCACAGUGUGUGUGUGUCAGGAGACCCGUCCUGGAUUUCGCCACCGGCUCUGGGCUUUCACUUCAACUGAAUUGGGCUGUAGGAUGGUAACCUAUAAAAUGAACGACUUGAAUUAGACUAUCGCCUUGGUCCUUUUAGCUCCGUGAUGCCAUUCCUGUAAUUCCGUUUCAGAGCCCGGCCUGAUGGAGGUAUGUGGUUGAUCAGACAGCCUUAGCAAGGCCCACAGGCUAGGGAGUGACUCAGCUGUGCCACUGGGUGAGGUCUGACACCCUAUCAGUCUUCCUGUCCCUUGUUGUACCCAUAUCUACCCAAUGCGUUGGCCUACACAGUGGGAUGGCGCUCCUUCCCGAGUGUCCCUCCAAGACCAUACCCUCUUCUGCUUUCAUCAAAUCUGACUGUCCUUUGUCACUUCCCCCCUGAAUUCCUCAACCUGCUACAUUCCUUCACGCCAACCUAUCCAGUGGCUUCAUUAGCUACAUU